UGAGGAAUAUUGGUCAAUGGACGCAAGUCUGAACCAGCCAAGUAGCGUGCAGGAUGACGGCCCUAUGGGUUGUAAACUGCUUUUAUAUGGGGAUAAAGUGGGGAACGUGUUCCCUUUUGCAGGUACCAUAUGAAUAAGGACCGGCUAAUUCCGUGCCAGCAGCCGCGGUAAUACGGAAGGUUCGGGCGUUCUCCGGAUUGAUUGGGUUUAAAGGGAGCGUAGGCCGUUUGGUAAGCGUGUUGUGAAAUGUAGGAGCUCAACUUCUAGAUUGCAGCGCGAACUGUCAGACUUGAGUGCGCACAACGUAGGCGGAAUUCAUGGUGUAGCGGUGAAAUGCUUAGAUAUCAUGAAGAACUCCGAUUGCGAAGGCAGCUUACGGGAGCGCAACUGACGCUGAAGCUCGAAGGUGCGGGUAUCUAACAGG
This 424-nucleotide ribosomal RNA is filed under the name Verrucomicrobiota bacterium. Its description in RNAcentral is "Verrucomicrobia bacterium partial 16S ribosomal RNA". It matches the Rfam family "Bacterial small subunit ribosomal RNA", at positions 355 to 776 of the family's 1533-position model. The record is from RNAcentral. Lineage: Bacteria; Pseudomonadati; Verrucomicrobiota.